Molecule: long non-coding RNA, 382 nt
Organism: Labeo rohita (rohu)
Lineage: Eukaryota; Metazoa; Chordata; Actinopteri; Cypriniformes; Cyprinidae
Exons: 3
Source: RefSeq, a predicted model, not a curated record
UUGAAUUUUGUUUUUACACGAGAGAAGAAGUUUACCUGUGGGAAAUCAACGGGCAAACAACAAACGAUAAAGGACUUUCCUGCUUGGUCUUGGUGUCAAAGUUGUGCAGAAUUGAAUGAAGAAACCUCAAAGACAGUGCCAGAAGGAAGCUGGAAAGAUGCAGUGAUGACCAACUUGUACUUGAGUUGUACUUAAGGAAUGCAGUUGGAAAAUAUUUUAUACAAGAAAAAAAAAACAAUUUCCUUUGAGUUCACUGUUGGUUGUUUUAUUUGUUAAAAUAAGUAAACCAACAAAUUGAUUAAUCUUUUUUUAAUCUGUUUUUUUUUUACGUUGUCAUUUAUCCACAAUGUUUUAAUGUUAAGUGUGAUAACAUGCUCUUGAU